This is a long non-coding RNA of Perca flavescens (yellow perch), 906 nucleotides long. RefSeq lists it as uncharacterized. Lineage: Eukaryota; Metazoa; Chordata; Actinopteri; Perciformes; Percidae. The transcript has 6 exons. The record is from RefSeq and is a predicted model, not a curated record.
UCUCAUGUCAGCAACCAGCUGUCAGUGCUGCUGAGUCAAAGAUAAAUCAAAGAAAGCAACCAGUGUCAACAGGAAUAAAAGAGCAGUUUGCUGCAGAGCUCCUAAGCUCAUUGCUCAUCUGAUCAUGAUUGGAGAAAAGCACUUGACUGUCAAACAAUGCUGUUUCCCAUCUAAUUCGGAGCGGAGCCACAUUUCUGGAGAGAGACUAAUGUUGGAUAGCACAGUAAAGACAACCUGAAGGACCUGAGAGCCAUCAUUCCCACAGAGUGGCAGCAAGGUCAUCUGGCAAAGGGAUGGAAUGAGUCCCAGCCUCAUAGCGAAUCAUGCUUUCCAAGCUAAAGUCUUAACUGAUAAAGAGUGAUGACUGAGCAGGUGCAGUAAGGGUUCAGUGUCAGGCUCAAGGACACUUCGACAGGGCACAAGGCUGCUGCUGGGACACAGCCUCUUGAGUUCACAGGCCAGAUGUCAGCUGUAGAUCAUACCAUGUGGCCGGGGGUGAUGUUGUACUGCAGUCCCUCUCUUUUAUCACACAGUCUUAGUUUUUUAUUUUUGUAACAACUGCAGUAUUAUCAAUGAUGCACUAACAAACAAGGCAGGUAGGUGCAGUGUUCUUGUGUACAAUUAUUCAGCUCUUGGACUACUGUAAAAUUAUUGUUUGUUUUACAUUCAACCUUUCUAUUUUCAAUCGGCCGUACUGUUAAAAUUAAGCAAUAUGUUCAUAUUCAAAUUUAGCCCUUAGGAACAGUUUUGCUUUGGGGCAGUGGAAAGAUGUGAGAUGGGAAAUGCUUUUUAAAGUAUGUUGCUCUAGCCUCAGAGCUUUAACACGCAAAGAUUUGGAUUAACUUCAAAUGAAAGUAUGACUGUUAAGUCUGAGUUGGAGGGUUUUUAGAGGCUUUUCCAAAUCUA